UGUCAUGGCGUCUUCCCAUGUUGUAGUUGACCUGUCGUUUACUUAAUUCUAUUUGUGCUUCGAUAUUUAAGUUGUCUAUUCUUGUUGUUUACAUUAUAGAUUUUUAAUAUUAGUGAUUGCAUUGUUUAACAUUUAUUGAACGGUCCGUCACCUUGUACUAUGUACUAAUUUUGUAUUCAUUUCAGGUAAAGUAUAUUUGGAUUUUAUUUGGUUGAACGAUGACACUCCCGAUGAGAGAAGAAAUGUAUCUCGCCCGUUACAUUAUAAAUAGCUAUUUUUCUAAGCAUGCUAUCAUCUAAUAUGGAGGACGGUAUACUAUUAACUGUAAAUUUGCACCGGACCAUGGGAUAAAUCAUCUAGUUACGCUCCCCAAGGAUGUUAUUGAAAAGAGCAUAUCGCAUUAUACAAGAGCAAGGUGCAAUUUUGUCCGAUUCCGAUUCUGCGAGUGAAAGGUGUAACUGUGGCAAGAAGAAGAAGGCAAGCUUAAGAUAAAAAUAAUGUAUAUAAAAAAUGUUUGGAAUGUAUACAAUAAAAUGUAAUGUGCUUUUCUAUGGUUGAUUAGAAGAAAGGAUUUUCAUUUACAGUAAAAAUAUAAUGUUUGUAAUGAAAUUGUAUCUGUUGAAACGUAUCAUAUCAUGUUUGAUAUGAUUUGAAUACUUUACAAGCUUAGAAAGUAAUUGUGAGAACAACUAAUGUAUAUGGAUAGAAAAAAAUGUGGUGGCUAAAGAAUAGUAAGGUUUAGGAAAGUUACAUUUAAGUGCGGCAGUACCCUGUAUUUAAUAAUAAUAAAAAAAGAAAGAAAGAAAUAUUUGUAUGAGUGUGGGAGGAGUGAAUGAGUCUUGUAAAUAGUUGUAAUUAGUGUAAAGUCGAGUAUAAGAAAGAAAGGAAAUGUUAGCGUCUUUUUGUUUUUUUUUUUUUUUUUUUUUUACGGCAUUUUUGAGAUGCAAUCAGAAUCUGGUUAGUUGAUAUUGAAUACCAAAGAUAGAUUACAUUAACGAAUGGUAGUGCUGUAACAUACAUGGUAAUGAGAAUAUUGAAAGGUAAGACUGAAUAAGAAAAUUGUAUAUAAGUGUGAGGUAGAAUAAUUGUUGGAGAUAGAUUAGUAAUGUAUAAUAAGGCAGAAGAUUGGGAUGUAAAAUAAAUGUUUAUAAAAUAUAAAGCAAAUAUCGAUAGGAUAUAAAAUAGAUAUUUGAAAA
This is a long non-coding RNA of Osmia bicornis bicornis, 1196 nucleotides long. RefSeq lists it as uncharacterized. The record is from RefSeq and is a predicted model, not a curated record. The transcript is spliced from 4 exons. Lineage: Eukaryota; Metazoa; Arthropoda; Insecta; Hymenoptera; Megachilidae.